This 400-nucleotide ribosomal RNA is filed under the name uncultured bacterium. RNAcentral describes it as "bacterial SSU rRNA". It matches the Rfam family "Bacterial small subunit ribosomal RNA", at positions 355 to 769 of the family's 1533-position model. The record is from RNAcentral.
UGGGGAAUUUUCCGCAAUGGACGAAAGUCUGACGGAGCAACGCCGCGUGAGUGAUGAAGGCCUUCGGGUUGUAAAGCUCUGUCUUAUGGGAAGAAGAAAGUGACGGUACCAUAGGAGGAAGCCACGGCUAACUACGUGCCAGCAGCCGCGGUAAUACGUAGGUGGCGAGCGUUGUCCGGAAUCACUGGGCGUAAAGGGCGCGUAGGCGGUUAAUUAAGUCAGGUGUGAAAACUUUGGGCUCAACCCAGAGACUGCACCUGAUACUGGAUAACUUGAGUGCAGGAGAGGACAGUGGAAUUCCUAGUGUAGCGGUGAAAUGCGUAGAUAUUAGGAGGAACACCAGUGGCGAAGGCGGCUGUCUGGACUGUAACUGACGCUGAGGCGCGAAAGCGUGGGGAGC